Molecule: ribosomal RNA, 557 nt
Filed under: Tateyamaria sp. I14B-00971
Lineage: Bacteria; Pseudomonadati; Pseudomonadota; Alphaproteobacteria; Rhodobacterales; Roseobacteraceae
Description: bacterial SSU rRNA
Rfam family: Bacterial small subunit ribosomal RNA
Source: RNAcentral
GCGGCGGACGGGUUAGUAACGCGUGGGAAUGUACCCUUCUCUACGGAAUAGCCAUUGGAAACGAUGAGUAAUACCGUAUACGCCCUUUUGGGGAAAGAUUUAUCGGAGAAGGAUCAGCCCGCGUUAGAUUAGAUAGUUGGUGGGGUAAUGGCCUACCAAGUCUACGAUCUAUAGCUGGUUUUAGAGGAUGAUCAGCAACACUGGGACUGAGACACGGCCCAGACUCCUACGGGAGGCAGCAGUGGGGAAUCUUAGACAAUGGGCGCAAGCCUGAUCUAGCCAUGCCGCGUGAGUGAUGAAGGCCUUAGGGUCGUAAAGCUCUUUCGCCAGGGAUGAUAAUGACAGUACCUGGUAAAGAAACCCCGGCUAACUCCGUGCCAGCAGCCGCGGUAAUACGGAGGGGGUUAGCGUUGUUCGGAAUUACUGGGCGUAAAGCGCACGUAGGCGGAUUAGAAAGUAUGGGGUGAAAUCCCAGGGCUCAACCCUGGAACUGCCUCAUAAACUCCUAGUCUAGAGUUCGAGAGAGGUGAGUGGAAUUCCGAGUGUAGAGGUGAAAU